RNAcentral lists this ribosomal RNA (779 nucleotides) under uncultured Neocallimastigales. RNAcentral describes it as "partial large subunit ribosomal RNA". It matches the Rfam family "Eukaryotic large subunit ribosomal RNA", at positions 23 to 644 of the family's 3401-position model. Lineage: Eukaryota; Fungi; Neocallimastigomycota; Neocallimastigomycetes; Neocallimastigales. The record is from RNAcentral.
ACACGCAUGACACACUGCAUAUCAAUAAGCGGAGGAAAAGAAACUAACAAGGAUUCCCUUAGUAACGGCGAGUGAAGCGGGAAGAGCUCAAAUUUGAAAUCUUCAAGGUUCUACCUUGACGAAUUGUAGUUUAAUAGAAGUGUUUUCUGUUAGUAGAGUUGGCUAAAAGUUCUUUGGAAUAGGACAUCAUAGAGGGUGAGAAUCCCGUAUUUGACCAUUAUUUUCAGCUGUGUGAUACACUUUCAAAGAGUCGGAUUGUUUGGGAAUGCAGUCCAAAAUGGGUGGUAAAUUUCAUCUAAAGCUAAAUAUUGGCGGAGAGACCGAUAGCGAACAAGUACCGUGAGGGAAAGAUGAAAAGAACUUUGAAAAGAGAGUUAAACAGUACGUGAAAUUGUCAAAAGGGAAGCGUUUGACACCAGUGUUGUUUUCUCGAAAAUCAAUUAAAAAUGGCUUGAUUUUGUGUUGUAUUGACUUUAUCAGCUUUCUGCACUUUUUUCUUAUCUUUUUUAAUGCACUUUUCGUUUAACAAGUCAACAUCAAUUUCUUUUGUUGUAAAAGAGUCAUUGGAAGGUGGCUUUUCAUUUCGUGAAAAGUGUUUAUAGCCUUGUGCCUCUGCAAUCGGAGAGAUUGAGGUCUGCAGCGUAGAUCCUUCGGGGUUAGAUACGUUUGUGCUAAGUUAUAGCUUUUCAUAGACAACUCGUUGACUAUGUUUAGUCUUGUAGCUUACUCGCUGACGCUAUUUUACCUACGCUUAGGAUGUUGACUGAUAUGUAGUCGUA